This 482-nucleotide ribosomal RNA is filed under the name uncultured bacterium. RNAcentral's name for it is "partial 16S ribosomal RNA". It matches the Rfam family "Bacterial small subunit ribosomal RNA", at positions 30 to 507 of the family's 1533-position model. The record is from RNAcentral.
AUUGAACGCUGGCGGCAUGCCUUACACAUGCAAGUCGAACGGAAACGGGCCUUCGGGUGCCGACGAGUGGCGAACGGGUGAGUAAUACAUCGGAACGUGCCCGAUCCUGGGGGAUAACGAGGCGAAAGCUUUGCUAAUACCGCAUACGAUCUACGGAUGAGAGCAGGGGACCGCAAGGCCUAGCGCGGACGGAGCGGCCGAUGGCAGAUUAGGUAGUUGGUGGGAUAAAAGCUUACCAAGCCGACGAUCUGUAGCUGGUCUGAGAGGAUGAUCAGCCACACUGGGACUGAGACACGGCCCAGACUCCUACGGGAGGCAGCAGUGGGGAAUUUUGGACAAUGGGCGCAAGCCUGAUCCAGCCAUGCCGCGUGCAGGAUGAAGGCCUUCGGGUUGUAAACUGCUUUUGUACGGAACGAAAAGCUUUCUUUUAAUACAGGAGGGUCAUGACGGUACCGGAAGAAUAAGCACCGGCUAACUACGUG